AAUCUUUGAAUGAAUAUAUUCAUAUUGUCUCGCCCUUUAUUAUGGAACAAGUUCGGCUAUGUAAUAUAAUGCCUGUUUAAUAUUUUACCACCUGUGCGGCCGUGUUUAUGAAAUUUUGACAGUUGGCCAGUCGUCGGCUUCAGCCCCCACGUAGGUAGUACGGGGGUGUUCGGGAUGUAAUCUAAACACUCUUGACCCAAUUGUUUGGUCCUUGAAGGAGGAGUUUUGCACAACGAACCAGGCAAUUGGACUAUGUGGCUUUCUCUACUUAGAAAUAGGAGUUUUACAUAAGGUCGGUUACAAAGAAAGGAAUCUUCAUAUUUGGUCGCCAUGCUUGCCUUCCACGCCAAGGAGAGUCCCAUCCGAACAUGGGAGGAAGUCUUCAGUCUUUGUAUCUUCACAUCCCACUAGUCCGGCCCAUGUCCAACAGGCCGGACGCCUGAGGACCCCUUAGUCCAGGACUCCCUCACCUGGUACAACGGUUUAUCACCGUCAGGGUAGAGUCGGCACGAAACGUUACAAAGAAGGUGAGGAAAGGUGGAAUGUGCUGGCUCGGGCUGAUACGGAUAUGGAACGGGAGCCAUCUACACUCACAACAUUAGUCGGUCAGUAACAAAAUAAACUAUAUGCAUGCAAUGUGGCAACCAAGUGCAAAUGCACACUCAAAAGACCCAAGGACUUCUAUCUACCGCCUUCUAACGUGUUGGCUGUCUAAGGUGUCCUACAGUCAGCACGACUCUGAUACCAAGCGUUGUGGCACCUCGGCUCAAAGAUCAAGUCUUCUGGCAAUACACAACAACUUGGUACAGAAAGCAACCGGUUUAUUGAUCUCUUGCGGAUACAAAGUUUCAAAUAUUACAUAGAAGUCGAGGCCAAGCGGCAUGCACGGUGCGGCUAAACUUAUGUACAUUAUUUAGUAGACAUCUCAGGGGCCUCAGCGAAAGGCGAUACUCCUACUCGGUAGCGGAACAAAGAGGUAGCGGGACUCCACUCCACAAGGACACUGCUAGGACACGGCCUAGAUCGGGACGAACCGAAAAACACCAACUCUGGGUACGGCUCCUCCUACAUCUAGCAUGACACGCUAGGUGAGUACUUUGAAUGUACUCGCAAGCUCACAGCAAGCAAAGCAAACAUGACAAAUAACAACAAGGCAUUUAGCAAGUUUAAUUCAUGAACAUGAGCAUGAUACUAUAUCCAUGAAGUAUACGUGGUUCAUGAUCAUGGUCCCUCAGACCAACUUACCAUCUCGGGUUACCUCAUAACCACCAUCAACAACUUACCAUUGUGAUCCUCACUAGAUCACAUCAGAACCAACCAUAGUGGUCCUCACAAGAUCACCAACUUCUGCAUGUGCCAUCUCAGUGUUAUUAAGUGUGCCGGUUAUUUAUUUCUAUUAACCCACAGUGUGACCUACUACGAACUGUGUCCAUAUCCGAGGAUGCGGCUAUCGAUAGAUUAUGCACUCUGCAGAUGUUCGUACACUGUACCCACACCGCGGAAUUCAUGGCGUCGUGUUCCCAUUCGGGUGGACCAAUGUCAUUCUGACAAAACCAAUAUGUUGCAUGACACUCUCCCGGCCACUCCGACAAACUCCCCUUUGGGCUAUGUCAUGUGUGGCCCCGCAUGCCAACUCUUGACAUCUGCCACCUUCGUGGCCAGCCACCGUCGUGGCAGAACAAAACAAACGAUCCCAAAUGGGGACAAUGGUACCAUAAAACUUUGGCCAUACAAGGUUUUGACUGCCUUCGGGUCAGGGUAGCGCAAGCGCAUAACCUUCUCUAGUUGGAGGCACUAGCGAGAGGCAUGACAAUAGACCGAAUAAGGGCCCCCCAUCCAGGCAAGUGUGGUUGCACUGGUGAACUUGAAUCUGUGGCACCAUGACUCGAUCAAUAGCUUGUUCAAGUUGAAUUAGCAUCAUAUAACUUGAAUUAAAAUGAUUUGAGCCAUAAUAUGCAAUGAGGUGCACAGGUCAUGAAUAUGGAUGAUGAAUGCAUCAUAUUUAGCAAGAGCAUAUGAAAUGAUCUUUACUGCACAUAAUACCAAGAUGAUAUAUAUUCUACAAAUAAUAUGCACAAGUUUCAUAUAGAAAUUAUUGUAACUUAAAUGCAUAAAAUGAAUUUAAUUUGAAUAGAACCAUUGCUAUUGCAAUGCCAUCCUUGCAAAUGAAUGUUGUGGCUUGCCUUAGUUCAGAGGAGUGUCACAAUACUCCUGGCCUCCUCCAACACAAUCGAACCUUCUGAAAAUAAUUUAAAUGCAAAAGGAAAAUGUUACAUAAAGCAUUGUAAUGCACCAGAAAUUAUCUACAGCAAAAAAAAUUCUCAAACUUGGCACACAGAAACUUUAGCUCAAUACAAAAAUAAUGCAAAAAAGAAUCAACCCAUUUGGACUUAUAGAAUAGAAUCUAGAGUUGGUCAAAUUUCUGGUCAAAAUUUGGAUUUAAAUGAAUUUAAACGAAUUUCCAGGGAAGGCCACAUCGAAGGCGUAUUUUCAGAAUACGCCUCCACUAAGAAAACACUUUGGGGGGAAGAGAGGCUGGCAGUGGGGUCUCACUGUUCAGGUGAGAGAGAGAGAGAGAGAGAGAGAGAGGGAGAGAGAGAGAGGAACAGGGCACGGCAGCCUUGUCGCCGGUGGUUGUUCGGCGAGGAGACCACGGCGAUUAUCGGAGAGAGGGGUAACGGGUCCAUCACAUCAUGGCGAACACACACGUACCCGUGGUGACGGCUGAGGUGGACGGAUGAUGACUCGGGCUUCUUCUCCAGAGAAGGCGAGCAGUGGAGCUCGGCGGAGCGGACGUUUACGGUGAUGAUUCGACGAACCAACAGCACUGGCGUACUCAGGAGAUCACCACUAGCUUGAUGGAGGCAGAGGGCAAAGACGGAGAUGAUCAGAGCAGGAGGACUGUCGUUGGGGAUCCGCGGGCAAUUCCGGCAAGGAUGGUGGCAGGAGGCCCUCCCGGCCUUGCCGCACUAGUGAGGAACUCAAUUUGUGGCCAGAGAAGUCGAAUGCAAUGAUUGGAAUGGCUCAGGGAGGGUUCUAUUUAUAGAUGGAGGGUGACAGUGCAUUGAGCUCCACCGGAGUAGAGUUGCUGGUGCACUGGGAGGGAGAGGACCUCCGGCUAGUCUUGGG
RNAcentral lists this long non-coding RNA (3129 nucleotides) under Triticum aestivum (bread wheat). RNAcentral's name for it is "long non-coding RNA (TAES_LNC014294)". Lineage: Eukaryota; Viridiplantae; Streptophyta; Magnoliopsida; Poales; Poaceae. The record is from RNAcentral.